Molecule: unclassified non-coding RNA, 240 nt
Filed under: soil metagenome
Description: partial contains 5.8S ribosomal RNA, internal transcribed spacer 2, and large subunit ribosomal RNA
Source: RNAcentral
AACGGUCUAUACCUGCGGUACCUGCGGAAGGAUCAUUACUGAAUUGAUUUUGGGGAUGUUGCUGGUCUCUUGAGGCAAUGGUGCACUCCCUCAAACAUUUCACAAUUUCCAUCUCACCCAUGUGCACAUCCUGUAGGUGGUCUCCCAACCCCCCCCCCACCUUUCCUUGGGGGAGUGUGUGGGUCUGGUCUCCUAUGUAUUUUUCCUUGCCAACAUCACGCGUUUUGACUGAAUGAAUCC